UCAAGUUAUUAAGGGUGUAGGGCGGAUGCCUUGGCACUAGGAGCCGAUGAAAGACGUGAUAAGCUGCGAUAAGCUUCGGGGAGUGGCACAUACACUUUGAUCCGGAGAUUUCUGAAUGAGGAAACUCACUUGGAGUAAUGUCCAAGUAUCCAUAGGUGAAUACAUAGCCUAUGGAGGGGAACUCAGGGAACUGAAACAUCUAAGUACCUGAAGGAAGAGAAAGAAAUUCGAUUCCGCUAGUAGCGGCGAGCGAACGCGGAAGAGCCCAAACCAAGUCAGUUUACUGAUUUGGGGUUGCGGACAUAUCUUAAGGAAAGGUUAUUGCGAGUAGAAUAGGUCUGGAAAGACCAACCACAGAGGGUAAAAGUCCCGUAUACAAAGCCAAGAAAGUUCUUGAUAUGAUCCAGAGUACCACGAGACACGUGAAACCUUGUGGGAAGCAGGGGGGACCACCCCCCAAGGCUAAAUACUACCUAGUGACCGAUAGCGAAUAGUACCGUGAGGGAAAGGUGAAAAGAACCCCGGGAGGGGAGUGAAAUAGAACCUGAAACCCUACACUUACAAGCUGUGGGAGCGCAUUAUUCGCGUGACCGCGUACUUUUUGUAGAACGGGCCAACGAGUUACGUUAUGUGGCAAGGUUAAGCACUUAAGGUGUGGAGCCGAAGCGAAAGCGAGUCUUAACUGGGCGCCAUAGUCACAUGACGUAGACCCGAAACCGGGCGACCUACCCAUGAGCAGGAUGAAGCGAAAGUAAAAUUUCGUGGAGGUCCGAACCCACGUACGUUGAAAAGUGCGGGGAUGACUUGUGGGUAGCGGUGAAAUUCCAAUCGAGCUCGGAGAUAGCUGGUUCUCCCCGAAAUAGCUUUAGGGCUAGCCUUGAAAUUUAGAGAUGUGGAGGUAGAGCACUGAAUGUCCUAGGGGGUAUUGCACUUACCGAAGACUAUCAAACUCCGAAUGCCAUUAUCUUUUGUUCAGGAGUCAGACUAUGGGUGAUAAGGUUCAUAGUCGAAAGGGAAAGAGCCCAGACCGUCAGCUAAGGUCCCUAAAUGUAUGUUAAGUGGUAAAGGAUGUGGGAUUGCACAGACAACCAGGAUGUUGGCUUAGAAGCAGCCACUCAUUUAAAGAGUGCGUAAUAGCUCACUGGUCGAGUGAUCCUGCGCCGAAGAUUUCCGGGGCUAAAACAUACUACCGAAGCUACGGCAUCAUAUGAUGAUGGGUAGGGGAGCUUCCCAUGCAGGCUGAAGCGAUACCGUAAGGAGUCGUGGACAGUAUGGGAGAGAGAAUGUUGGCAUGAGUAGCGAGAUGAGGGUGAGAAUCCCUCAGGCCGUAAACCCAAGGUUUCCAGGGGAAGGUUCGUCCUCCCUGGGUUAGUCGGGACCUAAGCUCAGGCCGAAAGGCGUAGGCGAUGGACAACAGGUUGAGAUUCCUGUACUACCGAUAAUCGUUUGAGAGAAGGGAUGACACAGUAGGAUAAGCUGAGCACACUGUUGGUUAUGUGUGUCUAAGCGUUGAGGCAGACUAGAUAGGCAAAUCCGUUUAGUUAAUGCUGGGGCGCGAUGGGGAGCGAAACUAAGUAGCGAAGCAGCUGAUUUCACACUGUCGAGAAAAGUCUCUAUCGAGAUUAAAGGUACCCGUACCGCAAACCGACACAGGUGGGUGAGGAGAGUAUCCUAAGGCCAGCGAGAGAACUGUUGUUAAGGAACUCGGCAAAAUGACCCCGUAACUUAGGGAUAAGGGGUGCCCCAGCAAUGGGGCCGCAGAGAAUUGGCCCAAGCGACUGUUUACCAAAAACAUAGGUUUCUGCUAAGUCGCAAGACGAUGUAUAGGAGCUGACGCCUGCCCGGUGCUGGAAGGUUAAGGGGAUCUGUUAGAGCAAUCGAAGCAGUGAUCUUAAGCCCCAGUAAACGGCGGCCGUAACUAUAACGGUCCUAAGGUAGCGAAAUUCCUUGUCGGGUAAGUUCCGACCCGCACGAAAGGCGUAACGAUUUGGGCACUGUCUCAACGA
RNAcentral lists this ribosomal RNA (2006 nucleotides) under human metagenome. RNAcentral describes it as "bacterial LSU rRNA". It matches the Rfam family "Bacterial large subunit ribosomal RNA", at positions 3 to 2027 of the family's 2925-position model. The record is from RNAcentral.